GCUCCCCAGUGAUAAGAAGGGAAGUUAGCUGUUUUGCACUGGGAAUUAAUUCAAAUUAACAAAAAUAAGCUAACAUAUUUCUCCCAAAGAACAAAAUACAUCGGAUUGGUUGGAAGUUAAUUUGCCUUACAAAAUUCAACAUUCCUCGAAGGCGUUCUAACAGGAUUAAGAGGAUUAGUCUAGCCUCUGCGCAUGCUUGUUCUAUACAAGGAAAAGCUCACCUUGAGCCCACUAUCAAUCCAAGAAAUACACACGAGACUUUCCCCUUCACCGACAUCUGCCUCUGCCACCUGGUACCAAUCAUUUAGAAGGUAAUCCUAAAAUAAACCAACAUCCAUAAGUAUACAGCUGUCGACAAAACGUUUCUGCAGACAGACACGCGACAUAGGACAAGCCCAGGUGAGCUUAGCAACAUUAGAACAUGUAGCUUUCAGUCAUUUAUAGGGCACAUUUAUGAUGGUGCUUGAAUCUGAGAUAAACUCAAAAUGUACAUUUAAUAAUCUACAAUCAUUUCAUUUCAUAUGCAUUAUACUGGUGAGCUGUGCUAGAGGGUGCUUAAAUGCACAGUCAACACACACUAUUAUGGACACCCCAUUUAAGUUUUAGUAAAAGUGGGUCUGUAAUAGUGGGGCACUAAAAAAUGCUGAUAAUCUGUGGCAAAUGGUUUAUAUUAAUUAUUAACACAACACUAAAAGUAUUAUAGGCUCCCAUAGCCUUGAUAGUCUCAAAAUAAAAGCACAUUGUGCAUUUCACAAUUUAAACUACAGUCAGGUUGACAUAAAGUACAAAAAUGUGACUGUCCAUGUACUGCAUACUGAGUGUGUACUGCAAAAGUUAGUGUGCAGUAGCUGCUAGAGAAUGUUAUCACAUCUUAAAAUAUUCAAAAA
Molecule: long non-coding RNA, 887 nt
Organism: Nematostella vectensis (starlet sea anemone)
Lineage: Eukaryota; Metazoa; Cnidaria; Anthozoa; Actiniaria; Edwardsiidae
Exons: 2
Source: RefSeq, a predicted model, not a curated record